AUGGCCGAAUGCUUCAAUAGGGUGCUGAAAGGUGCACGUGGAUUACCCGUGACGGCAAUAGUUCAAUACACAUUUGACAAGAUGAAUGCGUACUUUGUAAAGUACUCGAUGGAAACCGAUGCACAGAUAGCGGGUGAGAACCCACGGAAGUACAAGUACAAGUUCCCACCCAAAGUUGAUGAAUGGUUGCUAUUUCAAUCACGGAAGGCGGACUCAGAAGAAGCUAUAUUAUAUGACAAUGAGGAGUGGAAGUACGAAGUGAAAGAGCCAGGAGGAACCACAAACGAUGGCCGGCAACAUGGAGGUCGGGCUUUCAAGGUGUCGUUAACACAAUGUGAUUGCACUUGCGGGAGGCCAUUGUUGCUUCAUCUCCCAUGCUCACAUUUGUAUGCCGCCGGCCGCGUUAGGAAUGUGGACAUCAAUCACCCACGCACCGUGAGGGAGUCCCAGUUCUCAAUCAUGACGGUCAAGAAAACAUGGGCUCCCCGCUUUCACCCAUACUUUGACCAAUCACAAUGGCCGGAGUAUCAUGGAGUUCAACUAUGGCCGGAUCCG
RNAcentral lists this ribosomal RNA (555 nucleotides) under Triticum aestivum (bread wheat). Its description in RNAcentral is "partial small subunit ribosomal RNA". Lineage: Eukaryota; Viridiplantae; Streptophyta; Magnoliopsida; Poales; Poaceae. The record is from RNAcentral.